AGGCUUUAAGUUAAAUAAACUAAUAGCCUUCAAAGCUAUAAAUAUAGGUAUGCCUUUAAGCCUUA
RNAcentral lists this transfer RNA (65 nucleotides) under Drosophila robusta. RNAcentral describes it as "tRNA-Trp". It matches the Rfam family "tRNA". From Rfam's summary of the family: Transfer RNA (tRNA) molecules are approximately 80 nucleotides in length. Their secondary structure includes four short double-helical elements and three loops (D, anti-codon, and T loops). Further hydrogen bonds mediate the characteristic L-shaped molecular structure. tRNAs have two regions of fundamental functional importance: the anti-codon, which is responsible for specific mRNA codon recognition, and the 3' end, to which the tRNAs corresponding amino acid is attached (by aminoacyl-tRNA synthetases). tRNAs cope with the degeneracy of the genetic code in two manners: having more than one tRNA (with a specific anti-codon) for a particular amino acid; and 'wobble' base-pairing, i.e. permitting non-standard base-pairing at the 3rd anti-codon position. The record is from RNAcentral. Lineage: Eukaryota; Metazoa; Arthropoda; Insecta; Diptera; Drosophilidae.